GACGAACGCUGGCGGCGUGCUUAACACAUGCAAGUCGAACGGAAAGGCCCCUUCGGGGGUGCUCGAGUGGCGAACGGGUGAGUAACACGUGGGUGAUCUGCCCUGCACUUUGGGAUAAGCCUGGGAAACUGGGUCUAAUACCGGAUAGGACCACGGCAUGCAUGUGCUGUGGUGGAAAGCUUUUGCGGUGUGGGAUGGGCCCGCGGCCUAUCAGCUUGUUGGUGGGGUGAUGGCCUACCAAGGCGACGACGGGUAGCCGGCCUGAGAGGGUGUCCGGCCACACUGGGACUGAGAUACGGCCCAGACUCCUACGGGAGGCAGCAGGUGGGGAAUAUUGCACAAUGGGCGCAAGCCUGAUGCAGCGACGCCGCGUGGGGGAUGACGGCCUUCGGGUUGUAAACCUCUUUCAGUAGGGACGAAGCGCAAGUGACGGUACCUACAGAAGAAGCACCGGCCAACUACGUG
RNAcentral lists this ribosomal RNA (465 nucleotides) under uncultured bacterium. RNAcentral's name for it is "bacterial SSU rRNA". It matches the Rfam family "Bacterial small subunit ribosomal RNA", at positions 28 to 507 of the family's 1533-position model. The record is from RNAcentral.